This 2298-nucleotide long non-coding RNA is filed under the name Homo sapiens (human). RNAcentral describes it as "HSALNT0323310". Lineage: Eukaryota; Metazoa; Chordata; Mammalia; Primates; Hominidae. The record is from RNAcentral.
CCUUGGCCUCCCCAAGUGCUGGGAUUACAGGUGUGAGCCACCACACAUGGCCUAAAUAGCUUUGUUUUUAAAUCACCGACAGCCCUUUUUUAGCAUCUGCUGCCACUGGGCUACUUAGUACUUUCCCGGGUAGAAGUGACUGUGCCACCAAUUUUCUGUGUGGCCUUCACUAAAUCAUUCUCGGUCUUUCUUUCAUAUCUUUGCAGUAUAGUAGGAUUAUUUUUAAAUAGUCCCCUUUAAAUAUUUUUAAAAUGUGCCCAUGCUAAUAAAUUCAUUCUUUAGUCUUUCAAGAUUGUACAUUUGAACAUCUGAAUAUCACUAAUAUUACUCAUCUGUUAUGCUGUUCCAUCUCUUGAGAUACUGUAUCACUAAAUGUGAUACAAUUUAGAAACAUUAUAUCAUAUGGUGAACAACACUAUAAAGACGACUUUUCAAAUUUCUAUUAACAUAGGCCUAUAACUGAAGAACUAAACAUUUUUGAAUAAAUAAUGUUGCCAAUAACAUUUUCUACAUAUUUUGGUCUUGCAAUCAAUGUGAGGAAUGCACAGUUGGAUCUGGAUACUCAGAGCAAUUUAUUUCCUCUUACAAGUCUACCAUUGAUAGUUUAAAUGCUAAUGGCCAAGAUAUACAAGCCAAAGGGUCCGUGGUGUGAAUGCAGGGCUUGCCUGAUCACCAGACUCCCUUCCCAACCUCUCCUCUGAAGAAGGAGAAAGUUCUUGAAAAAGCUCAAAAAUGCGUUUUGGCAAGCACAAGAGAUGCAGCCUAGCAGCAUGAAUUAAGAGACUUGUGACCGUGGAAAAGAACUGUAAAUUUUAAAUGGCUUUGGCCCUUCUUAGCUUUUGACCAGCUGACCUUGACAUUCCUUAGAGGCCAAAGGAUAAGAUGCAGUGAAGACAGUGCUGCCUAGCCAUUUCCCCUCAGGGGGCAGCACCAGUCCUUCCAGCAGUGGAUGAAGUCUAUCCAGUGUGUCUUGGGGAGAACUGUAAUAAAUGAGGCUCCCUCCCUGAGAAAUGACUAAAACCACGAAAAUAAAUUCUUAGAUGAAACAGUUCAAUUAUCUAAUGUAAUUACUCCUAAGGAAAAAAUGAGAGAAAUUUAUCAUAGCUACAUGAAGUUUCCAAUGUGGUUAUAUAUGACUGUGUAUAGUCAACAGUUAUUCAUCUGGCGUUCUGUCAAACAGAGUUUUCUAUAAUAUGGUAUCUGUGACUGUUUCCAAUACAAUAAAAAUGCUGCAAAAUCUUGAAAUGCUUUUCAAAAGAAGAAUACUUUAUAGUAUAGUGUGUACAGCUGUAGUAUUGAGCUUAUUUUGCUGUACUUUAUUAAUCUUUUCCAAAACAUGUAAAUAAUGAAGUUUGUUGCACACCACAUCUGGAUUUCAUGAUUAUACUGUAAGACUUAUAUAGUAGAUGGCCCUUCAUUUAGGGAAGUAGUAUAUACACCAGAAUAUGCCUUUUCUUUUUAAGAUUUAAACAACGGAAAAAGCCACUGAAGUAUGUAUAGUAUCUGUGCGCCGAGAUACACAGGAAAGCAUGGAACAUGUGGAUGGAAGGAACCGGGAUCAUCUCAUCCAGCUGAGUAAUAAGUACGUUUGGUGCAGUGCCACACAGGAGGCCACCAACAGAGCCCAGAGUAGUAACUAGGUUGCUUCACUCUUAGCCUCUCAAGUGAUGACACCAAGGCAUGAUCUUAUCUCUUGAUUGUGGCCACCCGUAAAGAAAAGCGUAUCUCUAAUCUCAGAAGCACAAGGAGUUCAUACCAGGAAACCAAGAUUAGAACAUCAUGCUAUCGUCUUUCAAAAUUACUAUGUAGGAUCAGUGGAACACUAGACACUGACAGAGUGGGCCCUGCAUCCUUCACUGCUUCCUCAUGGAGGGAUUUCCAGGACAGGGGCCCUCUUUGCCUGUCUCCGCCCUUGGUGGCGAAUAUGGGUGGGGGAUGGAUCUGGGCAUGCUCACAUCAGCCCCUCCCUUGCUCUUCUCUCUUUGGAUCUUGCUUGCAGUGAGAGGGCUUUUUCUUCCUGUUUUUUGGAGGGUGAGAUCUGCGCGGAGCUGUUCAAUGCUGCCUGGACUGGGUAUUAGUAUGCUUAGCUCAAGGUGAAGUAUAAGCCAACUCAUGAGGCCCAGCAGUGCAUCCCCUUUCUUCUCUGAGUUCUCCCCAGUACAAAUCUGGUGCUUGGAUCUCUUUCUGACUCCUCAGUUUAUCUGUCAAAUGGUUCCAAACUUGAGUAGGGUGAGAGGAUCAUCCCCCGUCAAAUGUACAUUAUUCAUACACUGUAAUGGCGUAAAAGAACCCUAGACA